RNAcentral lists this ribosomal RNA (62 nucleotides) under PVC group bacterium. RNAcentral describes it as "partial 16S ribosomal RNA". Lineage: Bacteria; Pseudomonadati. The record is from RNAcentral.
UUUCUACGGAGAGUUUGAUUCUGGCUCAGAACGAACGCUGGCAGCGUGGAUUAGGCAUGCAA